GAAUCUGCCCAGAAGCAGGGGAUAACACUUGGAAACAGGUGCUAAUACCGUAUAACAACAAAAUCCGCAUGGAUUUUUGUUUGAAAGGUGGCUUCGGCUAUCACUUUCUGGAUGAUCCCGCGGCGUAUUAGUUAGUUGGUGAGGUAAAGGCCCACCAAGACGAUGAUACGUAGCCGACCUGAGAGGGUAAUCGGCCACAUUGGGACUGAGACACGGCCCAAACUCCUACGGGAGGCAGCAGUAGGGAAUCUUCCACAAUGGACGAAAGUCUGAUGGAGCAAUGCCGCGUGAGUGAAGAAGGGUUUCGGCUCGUAAAACUCUGUUGUUAAAGAAGAACACCUUUGAGAGUAACUGUUCAAGGGUUGACGGUAUUUAACCAGAAAGCCACGGCUAACUACGUGCCAGCAGCCGCGGUAAUACGUAGGUGGCAAGCGUUGUCCGGAUUUAUUGGGCGUAAAGCGAGCGCAGGCGGUUUUUUAAGUCUGAUGUGAAAGCCUUCGGCUUAACCGGAGAAGUGCAUCGGAAACUGGGAGACUUGAGUGCAGAAGAGGACAGUGGAACUCCAUGUGUAGCGGUGGAAUGCGUAGAUAUAUGGAAGAACACCAGUGGCGAAGGCGGCUGUCUAGUCUGUAACUGACGCUGAGGCUCGAAAGCAUGGUAGCGAACAGGAUUAGAUACCCUGGUAGUCCAUGCGUAACGAUGAGUGCUAGUGUUGAGGUUUCGCCCUCAGUGCUGCAGCUACGCAUAGCACUCGGCUGGGAGUACGAC
This 768-nucleotide ribosomal RNA is filed under the name Levilactobacillus brevis. RNAcentral's name for it is "bacterial SSU rRNA". It matches the Rfam family "Bacterial small subunit ribosomal RNA", at positions 122 to 886 of the family's 1533-position model. Lineage: Bacteria; Bacillati; Bacillota; Bacilli; Lactobacillales; Lactobacillaceae. The record is from RNAcentral.